Molecule: ribosomal RNA, 423 nt
Filed under: Galathea pilosa
Lineage: Eukaryota; Metazoa; Arthropoda; Malacostraca; Decapoda; Galatheidae
Description: partial 16S ribosomal RNA
Rfam family: Bacterial large subunit ribosomal RNA
Source: RNAcentral
UUUUAAUUGAAAGCUUGUAUGAACGGUUGGACAAAGGAUAAACUGUCUUUAUGGUUAUUUUUGAAUUUAUCUUUUGAGUGAAAAGACUCAAAUAUUUAAAGGGACGAUAAGACCCUAUAAAGCUUAAUAUUUUUUAUGCUUAUUCUAAUUUUUUUUUGUUGAAGUGGUUAGGGAUAAUAAAAUAUUUUAUUGGGGUGAUAAGAAUAACUAAUAAACUGUUCUUCGUCAAACAAAUUUAUUUGAGCAGCAAAGAUCCUUAAUAGAGAUUAAGAGUUUAAGUUACUUUAGGGAUAACAGCGUUAUUUUUUUUGAGAGUCCUAAUCGAAAAAAAAGUUUGCGACCUCGAUGUUGAAUUAAAAUUUCUCUAUGGUGAAGCAGCUAUGGAAAGUAAGUCUGUUCGACUUUUAAAAUUUUACGUGAUCU